Molecule: long non-coding RNA, 2387 nt
Organism: Vidua macroura (Pin-tailed whydah)
Lineage: Eukaryota; Metazoa; Chordata; Aves; Passeriformes; Viduidae
Exons: 3
Source: RefSeq, a predicted model, not a curated record
GGUGUCCCAGGAAUUCUGGAGGUGGCACUCAGGGCUCUGGGCUGGGGACAAGGUGGGCAUCAGGCACAGCUGGGACUUGGUGGUCUGGGAGGGCUUUUUCCAGCCUCAGGGAUUCUGUGAUUCUGUAUUAUUAAUUAUCUUUUAUUGAGCAUUCCUGUUCUCCUUCAAAAAACAUUUCUGUUAGAGAUUAGGAAAACUGUGAAGCGACAAACAUCAGAGUUAGUGUGUUGGAACGACACCUAAGUACGAAACACUACAGGAACGUGCCCUUACUACAGUAUUUUAUGUAGUAAAUGUAUUAGAAAAACAAACAAUUGCUACAGACUUGUGAUUUGCAAAGUUAAAUAAGUAAAAACCUGCCAGUGUCACAUUUCAAAGAAUCAAAGAAUCGUUAAGGCUGGAGGAGAGCUUUCAGAUAAUCGAGUCCAGGCAUCAACCCAGCACCAUGGCCACCUUUCAGUGCUGUCCUCAGGUGUCAUACCCACGUUUUUUGAAACAUAUUUACCCCCUGGCACUAAUCAGGGAAUGACCUUUAGGAAGUCCUGCACACGGGUUACACGGGCUGGAAUGAAGUUACCACCUGAAGUCCUCCAGAUACAAAUGGCUUUUUCUCCUGGAUUUUUGCAUCUUGAUUUUUAUUGACUCAGCUCUCCUGCUUGCUGGAAUUGAAGAAGAAAGCAAGGAAGGCUUUCAGCAGCUCCCAGCCAUGAAGGAGAACUACAGAGUUCACAUGCUUGGCUGCCUUUUGUUGUGAGAACAAACACAGCCCCAAAAUACAGGUUACAGAUGAGCCCGUAGUAAACAAUUAGGAAAGUUGGAGUUAAAAAAGGAGAUAAAAAGGCAGAAAACAUGAUUAAAGUACUGAGCUGGGAGAUUCAUUAGUGUUGCAGACAGAUAAGUAAAUUAGAGCCCUGCAGAAAUUAUUUGACUGGCAAAUUAAUUACACAAUAUUACAAUGGCUUUGCCAGCCAAAUUUAGCCCUCGGGAAGCAGGUAGGAGUCUGCCUGACUUAAUAAAAGGAGCCUUGGCUGGUCUGCAGCUUAAUCAGAGAUGAAAAUUAACAUCUCAGGAUUUGAGGCACACGGAGGCUCCAGCCAUCGGGAGGCCAGGCUCCAGCACAAUUACCAGGUUACAGUGGCAAGGAAGCUGGCCAGGCAGCAGGAUGCUCCUGCCUCCUCACAGGCCUUCAAUUCACUGCCCUUCCUGGGAGAGCAAGGCAGGAGCUGCUCUGGAAACCCACAUGAGCCUCGUUAGGCAGAUCGCUCAACGGGACACUUUACAUCUGCUUAGAGAAUGCCUGAUUCAAAUAUUUCACCUAACCCUUAAGAGCUCUCGCUGUGUCCCCAGUGAGCAGAAACACUUUAGCUUUGGAAAUACAUAUUUAUAUCCCUGGAACACGUCACCUUCCAUGACAAGCACCAGACAACACUCAUUAUCCACGCUGAUCCACAGCAUCAUUUCAAACAUGAAGACCUCAGCAUCGCUGCAGAUAUUAAAAAAACAAAACCUUUCCUGGGCUUUCCUGCCCCCAGACGUGGCAGUGGCUGGGGUGGCCACCCCGAGCCUGGCAGCACUUGCCCCCCCGGGCCCCGCUGGGGAGCAGUGGAGGGGCUGCAAUAAAUCCACUUCCCUCUCCUCUCCUGUGUGCCAGGCCGGUGGGAUUGCCUGCUGGAAGAGUGGCCUCAUUUAAUGGGGAUCUGACUGAUAUCAAAAUUGACUUGGUUUCCCAAUGAUAUCGUGUAGCAGAAUGUUGUGAGCUGGAAACUAAUAUAUUUCUUCUUGCUUGUCACAUCAAUACGGGCUAAUUUUGUUGGCUUUUGUAUUGAACAAUCUGGUGAAUGUACAAUCCAGUUUUGAUUUCUCUCUUUAUGAUGCCUCUUAUUAUUAAAGCUCCCUCAACCAAAAAACAAUGUAUUUUUAUUUACUGGUAAUAGUAAUGGGAUUCAAUUUUUGCCUCAGUUUUAAUCUAGUUUCUCCAUAUUGAAGAACCAGAUCGCAUUUAAUUAAAAUUGAACAAAAUCCAGUUUUUGCUCCAUUCCUCCAGUGUGAAGGCUGAGCUUCAUUUUUGCAUAGUUUUAUUUAAUACUACUCUUCUCAAAUCAGUGUUUUUUACUCACUGUGCUUCAGGUGUUGCAAAAAAGACCAAAUUAUUUAUUGUGCACGAUUAAUUGCCUGUUUGUCCAUGACUAUUCCAUUUUCAGGGAAGGGUGAGUGUACAUUUUUGUACCACUGGGCGUGUGUCCAUCCUACACUUGUGCUGGAUUCCAGCUGAGCUUUGCUGGAAGCAAAGAAGUGCUGAGAGAAGGAAAGAGGAGCUGAAGCUUGGAGACCCUCGAGGUUGUAGGAUCAGGGAAUCCCCAAGUGGGUUGGGCUGGAAGGGACCUUAG